CCAUCGGUGGUUCAGUGGUAGAAUGCUCGCCUGUGGCAGGGUUCGAUUCCCGGCCGAUGCA
This 61-nucleotide transfer RNA is filed under the name Cordylochernes scorpioides. RNAcentral describes it as "tRNA-Ser". Lineage: Eukaryota; Metazoa; Arthropoda; Arachnida; Pseudoscorpiones; Chernetidae. The record is from RNAcentral.